Molecule: ribosomal RNA, 253 nt
Filed under: uncultured bacterium
Lineage: Bacteria
Description: partial 16S ribosomal RNA
Rfam family: Bacterial small subunit ribosomal RNA
Source: RNAcentral
UACAGAGGGUGCAAGCGUUAAUCGGAAUUACUGGGCGUAAAGCGUGCGUAGGUGGUUUACUAAGUCAGGUGUGAAAUCCCCGGGCUCAACCUGGGAACUGCGCUUGAUACUGGUAAACUAGAGUUUAGUAGAGGGAAGUGGAAUUCCACGUGUAGCGGUGAAAUGCGUAGAGAUGAGGAGGAACACCAGUGGCGAAGGCGGCCACCUGGACAGUAACUGACGCUGAGGCGCGAAAGCGUGGGUAGCAAACAGG